CCUACGGGUGGCAGCAGUGAGGAAUAUUGGUCAAUGGGCGCGAGCCUGAACCAGCCAAGUAGCGUGAAGGAUGACUGCCCUACGGGUUGUAAACUUCUUUUAUAAAGGAAUAAAGUGAGGCACGUGUGCCUUUUUGCAUGUACUUUAUGAAUAAGGAUCGGCUAACUUCGGGCCAGCAGCCCCGGUAAUACGGAGGAUCCGAGCGUUAGCCGGACUUAUUGGGUUUAAAGGGAGCGUAGAUGGGUUGUUAAGUCAGUUGUGAAAGUUUGCGGCUCAACCGUAAAAUUGCAAUUGAUACUGGCAGUCUUGAGUACAGUUGAGGUAGGCGGAAUUCGUGGUGUAGCGGUGAAAUGCUUAGAUAUCACGAAGAACUCCGAUUGCGAAGGCAACUUACUAAACUGCCACUGACAUUGAUGCUCGAAAGUGUGGGUAUCGAACGGGAUUAGAUACCCCUGUAGUC
This 460-nucleotide ribosomal RNA is filed under the name uncultured bacterium. RNAcentral's name for it is "partial 16S ribosomal RNA". It matches the Rfam family "Bacterial small subunit ribosomal RNA", at positions 338 to 795 of the family's 1533-position model. The record is from RNAcentral.